This 245-nucleotide ribosomal RNA is filed under the name uncultured bacterium. RNAcentral's name for it is "partial 16S ribosomal RNA". It matches the Rfam family "Bacterial small subunit ribosomal RNA", at positions 524 to 768 of the family's 1533-position model. The record is from RNAcentral.
CACGGAGGCCCCGAGCGUUGUUCGGAUUUACUGGGCGUAAAGAGUACGUAGGCGGUCAGGCAAGUCAGAUGUGAAAGCCCGGGGCUCAACCCCGGAAUUGCAUCCGAUACUGCCUGGCUUGAGGAUUGGAGAGGAAGCUGGAAUUCACGGUGUAGCAGUGAAAUGCGUGGAUAUCGUGAGGAAGACCAAAGGCGAAGGCAGGCUUCUGGACAAUUCCUGACGCUGAGGUACGAAGGCCAGGGGAG